RNAcentral lists this unclassified non-coding RNA (967 nucleotides) under Hevea brasiliensis (rubber tree). The record is from RNAcentral. Lineage: Eukaryota; Viridiplantae; Streptophyta; Magnoliopsida; Malpighiales; Euphorbiaceae.
GGGCCUUGAAGAUCAAGAACCAGGUAUAUCAAAACAAGACGCAUUACCUGCAACUAAAAGAUUAACAGAGAACUAUUAAUGAUGGCAAUCCAGGACCUUCUUGCUGUCACUUAAAGCCUGGAGAAUCAUGUCGAACUAUAAAAGGAGAUAUACCAGCCCAUAUUCAGCAAGAACAAAUCAACCUCAGAAGUAUUUCAUUCUGGCACAAACAGGCAGCAUUAUUUUUGCUUUUGAAUAUGUAGAGUUAUUAGAUAAAAUGAAAUUGACUGUUCCAACUUUCAUAUCAUUAAUUUUCAGGGAAUAUAAAUCCAGGAAAUAAGAAAAUUCAAAGUAUUUACAUCCUAACUGAGCCUGACAAGUCAAGCACUGAAUCAAAUGUGAGCUUAUGCAACAAUCAGACAAUCUGGAAGAGGCAGAGAACUAAAUAUCAAAGUUAGCAAAACACUGAAUCAUCUAAAGGGCACAAGGAUUAGGGAUCAAAACAUUCAAGUGGACUUCCUUAUAGCUGAAAGUGAAUAUCAAGCUCCAAAUAUCACGAGACAUUCUGUCUGUUCAACAAGAAGUUACCUUAGGUUGUUACAAUCAAGAUAAUUAUAUUUACAAGGAAAUAGGACCAAAUGAAUUGUAUCAUUCAACACUCAAUUGGAUAAGCCUUCGGUACAUGGCAAAUGCCUAUUCUUGAGGGUCUGGUGAAAGAGAAAAUAAAUAGCAUGAAGAGAAAUCAUAACCUAAGGUGGCUUGUGAAAACAGUAGGUUGGUCUUUAACUAAAUAUUUUAUACGGAAAUAAAUAUGCUGAUUCUCUUCAAGUGGUGUAAUGUUUCAAAACAUACCCCAUCUCAAGAUGAAAAAGGAAAUUUUAUUAUUAAUAAGAAAACUGAGAAUUAAACAAGAAAAAUUCAGAUCAAGGGCUCACAGAUAAAGCUUUAGGUUUAGAAACACUUUUACUGAUCGAAAACUUUUUUUUUU